UUUAGCUUUUUCCAUGUUAUGGUUUUUGCACGAAAAUCUAGUAAAAUAUUAAUCGUAAGCAUAUGUUAUAAUUUCAACUUGACGUUGAAAAUUAUCUUAGCUACCAAAAUAUUCAUCAGUCAAUUCUAAGAGAGAGACUAAAAAGUGUUAGAAAAAAAUUUCAACUAAAAUUCUAAGAUAAAAUGAAGUUUAAAAUUUGGAUUAUUUUAUUGUUUGCAACAUCAGGACAUGGAUUUUUAAUAGAAAGAGUAAAAAAACUUUAUAGUUAUAUUGAUGCUAGUGAUCAAGGUUCCACAGAUGUAAGCAUUGAAAAACGUCAAGAAAAACCAUGGGAAACACAACAAUCUACAUCCUCAAAUCAUGGACCAUACGGAAAUUCCGACAAAGAAAAUUU
Molecule: long non-coding RNA, 394 nt
Organism: Cotesia glomerata
Lineage: Eukaryota; Metazoa; Arthropoda; Insecta; Hymenoptera; Braconidae
Exons: 2
Source: RefSeq, a predicted model, not a curated record